This 253-nucleotide ribosomal RNA is filed under the name uncultured bacterium. RNAcentral describes it as "partial 16S ribosomal RNA". It matches the Rfam family "Bacterial small subunit ribosomal RNA", at positions 524 to 776 of the family's 1533-position model. The record is from RNAcentral.
UACGUAGGGUGCGAGCGUUAAUCGGAAUUACUGGGCGUAAAGCGUGCGCAGGCGGUUGUGCAAGACAGAUGUGAAAUCCCCGGGCUCAACCUGGGAACUGCAUUUGUGACUGCACGACUAGAGUACGGCAGAGGGGGGUAGAAUUCCACGUGUAGCAGUGAAAUGCGUAGAGAUGUGGAGGAAUACCGAUGGCGAAGGCAGCCCCCUGGGCCGAUACUGACGCUCAUGCACGAAAGCGUGGGGAGCAAACAGG